Molecule: ribosomal RNA, 296 nt
Filed under: uncultured bacterium
Lineage: Bacteria
Description: partial 16S ribosomal RNA
Rfam family: Bacterial small subunit ribosomal RNA
Source: RNAcentral
AACGAACGCUGGCGGCAUGCCUAACACAUGCAAGUCGAACGAGACCUUCGGUCUAGUGGCGCACGGGUGCGUAACGCGUAACUAAACCUGCCCAAGACUGGGGAGUAGCCCGCCGAAAGGCGGAUUAAUACCGCAUAAUAUCUUUACUGGCAUCAGUAGUAGAUUAAACCUGAGGGGGUCUUGGAUGGGGUUGCGGGUCAUUAGCUAGUUGGUAAGGUAACGGCUUACCAAGGCGACGAUGACUAGGGGAGGCUGAGGGGCGUGGUCCCCCACACGGGCACUGAGAUACGGGCCCG